GCAGCCAGUAUGGUGGCCAUGACUCUCGGCUUGUAACCGAGUGGGUUUGGGUUCGAAUCCCGAGUAAUACAUGGUUGUA
Trichonephila clavipes is the source of this 79-nucleotide non-coding RNA. Lineage: Eukaryota; Metazoa; Arthropoda; Arachnida; Araneae; Nephilidae. The record is from the annotation of a GenBank genome assembly.